UACAGAGGUCCCAAGCGUUGUUCGGAUUCAUUGGGCGUAAAGGGUGCGUAGGUGGCGCUGUAAGUCGGGUGUGAAAUCCUGAGGCUUAACCUCGGAACUGCAUUCGAUACUGCGGCGCUUGAGGACUGGAGAGGAGACUGGAAUUCAUGGUGUAGCAGUGAAAUGCGUAGAGAUCAUGAGGAAGACCAGUGGCGAAGGCGGGUCUCUGGACAGUUCCUGACACUGAGGCACGAAGGCCAGGGGAGCAAACGGG
RNAcentral lists this ribosomal RNA (253 nucleotides) under uncultured bacterium. Its description in RNAcentral is "partial 16S ribosomal RNA". It matches the Rfam family "Bacterial small subunit ribosomal RNA", at positions 524 to 776 of the family's 1533-position model. The record is from RNAcentral.